UGGGGAAUAUUGGACAAUGGGCGCAAGCCUGAUCCAGCAAUGCCGCGUGUGUGAAGAAGGCCUUCGGGUUGUAAAAGCACUUUUAUCAGGAGCGAAACGCUGUCGGCUAAUACCCGGCGGAACUGACGGUACCUGAGGAAUAAGCACCGGCUAACUUCGUGCCAGCAGCCGCGGUAAUACGAAGGGUGCAAGCGUUAAUCGGAAUUACUGGGCGUAAAGCGUGCGUAGGCGGUUUCUUAAGUCUGCUGUGAAAUCCCCGGGCUCAACCUGGGAAUGGCAGUGGAUACUGGGAGGCUAGAGUGUGUCAGAGGGUGGUGGAAUUCCCGGUGUAGCGGUGAAAUGCGUAGAGAUCGGGAGGAACAUCAGUGGCGAAGGCGGCCACCUGGGACAACACUGACGCUGAGGCACGAAAAGCGUGGGGAGCAAACAGGAUUAGAUACCCUGGUAGUCCACGCCCUAAAACGAUGCGAACUGGAUGUUGGUCUCAACUCGGAGAUCAGUGUCGAAGCUAACGCGUUAAGUUCGCCGCCUGGGGAGUACGGUCGCAAGACUGAAACUUAAAUGAAUUGAC
RNAcentral lists this ribosomal RNA (571 nucleotides) under uncultured bacterium. Its description in RNAcentral is "partial 16S ribosomal RNA". It matches the Rfam family "Bacterial small subunit ribosomal RNA", at positions 355 to 914 of the family's 1533-position model. The record is from RNAcentral.